CCCUUAGAUGUUCUGGGCCGCACGCGCGCUACACUGAUGCAUUCAACGAGCCUAUCCUUGACCGACAGGUCCGGGUAAUCUUUGAAUCUGCAUCGUGACGGGGAUAGAUUAUUGCAAUUAUUAAUCUUCAACGAGGAAUGCCUAGUAGGCGCAAGUCAUCAGCUUGCGUCGAUUACGUCCCUGCCCUUUGUACACACCGCCCGUCGCUCCUACCGAUUGGGUGUGCUGGUGAAAUCUCCGGACUGGCGUGAGUCGGAGCAAUCUGACAAACACCGGAAAGUUGAUUAAACCUUACCAUUUAGAGGAAGGUGAAGUCGUAACA
Molecule: ribosomal RNA, 322 nt
Filed under: uncultured eukaryote
Lineage: Eukaryota
Description: partial 18S ribosomal RNA
Rfam family: Eukaryotic small subunit ribosomal RNA
Source: RNAcentral